AUUUGGUUCAUGAUUUAUGCAUAAGAUAUAUUAACCAAAUAACAAGCCUUAAGGUGUAUCAUAAAGAUUUUCAGAUUUAAAUUUCAGAUGAUACAUAUUGGAGAGUAUUAGGAUCACUUUUCAUUUAGUAUUCUUUCUUUCUCCUUUAGUUAUAGAUUUAUGCGAUUAAGUUCCAUAAGACCUCUCCUUCUGAAAUUUUCUUUCUCCCCCUCAAUUGAUCAUUCCAUUUAGGAGUUUAGAAUUUGAAGAUAAUGUUCAAUAAAAUUGUCAAUCUCAAAAAUGUAUUUUCUAUAAGUUUUAGCUUAUUUUCAUAAGACUCAAGGUUUGAGAUAAGACAACCUUUAUAGAACUCAUCUCAAGGUAUAAACUUAUAAUAUAAUUAAAGCAAGUCUUGCUAUAUAAGGAGGUUCAUCAAAAUCAAUCCAUAAAAA
This 431-nucleotide long non-coding RNA is filed under the name Phoenix dactylifera (date palm). Its description in RNAcentral is "long non-coding RNA (PDAC_LNC012650)". The record is from RNAcentral. Lineage: Eukaryota; Viridiplantae; Streptophyta; Magnoliopsida; Arecales; Arecaceae.